AAAAUGCCACGCUAGCAAAUUACAAUACUAUCCAGUCUUCACAAACUAACACCACUGUCUUCUUUCUCUAUCUAGGGUUAGAUCUCCGAUCAUACAACCAGACAGCCACCACCAUGGAGUGCUAGGAUCUAACUAACAAGUCAGCACUCCACCUAUAUCACUCUGCUAACAAUUAGUAUCUUGGCCAGGAGAAGAGAGCGAUGGCGGUGACGGUAUGGUCAUGGUAGUGAUGUCUCCUAUGAUCAUUCGAUUAUGUGCUUCACUAACAAUUUACAGGGUUUCCGGUGGUGUUCAGAUACUAUAGUGAUUGACGAACUACUGCGCAAUUAGCUAGCGUUUCGUUGGACUUCCAGCAAGCCGAUUACGGCGUUAAUCAGCUAUGGCCGAGAAGGGGGUGGUGAGACGAUUCACCUUGUCGACAUGUAUCAUUUCAGUCUUGAUGGUUGAGUUCAGAAUUGGUUGAUUAGGAGCUAAGAUGUCUUGAAGUUAUAUAUAUCUACUGGAAUAUUGUAUUGGGAUUAGCUUCAGUUUUCAUUUGUUAUGUUUUGAUUGUGCAAGGGAAGCCUAUGAAGAAUAGUGGGAAUCAAGUUUGCCACAUAUGUGGGGAAAAUGCUAAUAGCACAAAGAAAGAAAAAGUGCUUAUGCAUGUGAUGUAUGUGCAUUCCUAGUUCGCAGGUUGUGCUAUGAGUAUGAGCGCAAGGAUGACAAUCAGUCUUGCCAUCAAUGCAAAACUAGAUACAAGUGACAAAAAGAAUCAUGUAUGUGGAUGAGCUUCAAAGUGAUUAAGUGAUUAUUUAAUUUGUUUGAUCAAAAAAGAAAGUGGGCUAAUUUGUAUGAGGAUGAAGGAAAACGAGAUUUGAUGGGCCGACUUAAUGGACUAGAGGAGAAAUCACGUGCACAUGAGGGUCUAGACUCUUGGAGGGGAACACCUUGGACAGUAGCCGACAACAUCGGGGGUGUUUGGGUUAGCUUAUUUAAGUUGAAAAGGACUUUUUGUCAAAAGGACUUAUUAACUUAUAACUUUUUGAAAAGGAGUUUCUAAAAAAGUGUUUGGAUUAGCUUAUGAGACAAUAAGUCAAUAAGUAGGUUUUAAAAAGUGUUUGGUUUAACUUAUUCAUGUAAAAUGACUAAAAAGGACAUCCCUUAAAAUUUGUUACUAUGUCAUGAUUUUAUCCCAGAAAUUAAUUGCACAAAGUUUGUAACUAAAUAUUCUAAUGAAACCUACAAUUUUUUUAUUAAUAAGCAUGUCAGGUCCUAAAUUCUCUUCAAAAUUGAUGCAAACAUUUAAGUUUAAAUGCAGUAUACGCAGAUUAUAUUUGAGACAGAAACAAGGGUUUUAUGGUAAUAUUUCUUCAAAAGUCCUUUUUCAUAUUGAGAAGUUACAAUUCAUGACUUCUCAAAAUUGGCUUUUUACAACACAAGCUAUAAGUUAUUGUAAAAGGACUUAUGGGUUUCCCAAACACUAUCAAGCUAACUUAUUAACUUAUAAAAGUUAAUAAGUUAAAAGGAGGGCAAAAAUAAGGAAUCCCAAACACCACCAUCACAUCAUACAUAUAAAAAAACAUAUCGAACGCAGCUUUCGGGGGGAGGAUUUCUUUUUGGGAGGAUUGGCAGCCGUCGAACAUCUAACAUCAGGGACGAAUUUCAUCAUUCUCUUCAGCCAAUCAACGACAUCUAGCCAACUCGGGAUGACAACCGAAGCGGCGAAGAUCACCAUGAGCGGCUAAACUUCUUGUGACUUCUGCCCGGAUGAACGUUUACGCGGUUUGACAUAAUUAUUUGUUUUUCUGAUUCUUGUAAACUGGUACAGCUUGACCACUUGUGUUGGAUUAUUGGUAAACGUUUCUUGUGUUUGAAUUACUUGUCGUUUAUUAA
Helianthus annuus (common sunflower) is the source of this 1875-nucleotide long non-coding RNA. RefSeq lists it as uncharacterized. The transcript is spliced from 3 exons. The record is from RefSeq and is a predicted model, not a curated record. NCBI's taxonomy places the organism in Eukaryota, Viridiplantae, Streptophyta, Magnoliopsida, Asterales, Asteraceae.